UUAUAGCAAAGAGGAUACACCUGUUCCCAUUCCGAACACAGAAGUUAAGCUCUUUAGCGCCGAUGGUACUUGGUGGGAAGCUGCCUGGGAGAGUAGGACGUAG
RNAcentral lists this ribosomal RNA (103 nucleotides) under Paraclostridium tenue. Lineage: Bacteria; Bacillati; Bacillota; Clostridia; Peptostreptococcales; Peptostreptococcaceae. The record is from RNAcentral.